RNAcentral lists this ribosomal RNA (952 nucleotides) under Staphylococcus aureus. RNAcentral describes it as "partial 23S ribosomal RNA". It matches the Rfam family "Bacterial large subunit ribosomal RNA", at positions 1931 to 2884 of the family's 2925-position model. The record is from RNAcentral. Lineage: Bacteria; Bacillati; Bacillota; Bacilli; Caryophanales; Staphylococcaceae.
CGGCCGUAACUAUAACGGUCCUAAGGUAGCGAAAUUCCUUGUCGGGUAAGUUCCGACCCGCACGAAAGGCGUAACGAUUUGGGCACUGUCUCAACGAGAGACUCGGUGAAAUCAUAGUACCUGUGAAGAUGCAGGUUACCCGCGACAGGACGGAAAGACCCCGUGGAGCUUUACUGUAGCCUGAUAUUGAAAUUCGGCACAGCUUGUACAGGAUAGGUAGGAGCCUUUGAAACGUGAGCGCUAGCUUACGUGGAGGCGCUGGUGGGAUACUACCCUAGCUGUGUUGGCUUUCUAACCCGCACCACUUAUCGUGGUGGGAGACAGUGUCAGGCGGGCAGUUUGACUGGGGCGGUCGCCUCCUAAAAGGUAACGGAGGCGCUCAAAGGUUCCCUCAGAAUGGUUGGAAAUCAUUCAUAGAGUGUAAAGGCAUAAGGGAGCUUGACUGCGAGACCUACAAGUCGAGCAGGGUCGAAAGACGGACUUAGUGAUCCGGUGGUUCCGCAUGGAAGGGCCAUCGCUCAACGGAUAAAAGCUACCCCGGGGAUAACAGGCUUAUCUCCCCCAAGAGUUCACAUCGACGGGGAGGUUUGGCACCUCGAUGUCGGCUCAUCGCAUCCUGGGGCUGUAGUCGGUCCCAAGGGUUGGGCUGUUCGCCCAUUAAAGCGGUACGCGAGCUGGGUUCAGAACGUCGUGAGACAGUUCGGUCCCUAUCCGUCGUGGGCGUAGGAAAUUUGAGAGGAGCUGUCCUUAGUACGAGAGGACCGGGAUGGACAUACCUCUGGUGUACCAGUUGUCGUGCCAACGGCAUAGCUGGGUAGCUAUGUGUGGACGGGAUAAGUGCUGAAAGCAUCUAAGCAUGAAGCCCCCCUCAAGAUGAGAUUUCCCAACUUCGGUUAUAAGAUCCCUCAAAGAUGAUGAGGUUAAUAGGUUCGAGGUGGAAGCAUGGUGACAU